RNAcentral lists this ribosomal RNA (253 nucleotides) under uncultured bacterium. RNAcentral describes it as "partial 16S ribosomal RNA". It matches the Rfam family "Bacterial small subunit ribosomal RNA", at positions 524 to 776 of the family's 1533-position model. The record is from RNAcentral.
UACGUAGGGUGCAGGCGUUAAUCGGAAUUACUGGGCGUAAAGGGCUCGUAGGUGGCCAACUAAGUCAGACGUGAAAUCCCUCGGCUUAACCGGGGAACUGCGUCUGAUACUGGAUGGCUUGAGUUUGGGAGAGGGAUGCGGAAUUCCAGGUGUAGCGGUGAAAUGCGUAGAUAUCUGGAGGAACACCGGUGGCGAAGGCGGCAUCCUGGACCAACACUGACACUGAGGAGCGAAAGCCAGGGGAGCAAACGGG